AAAUGGAUUUGGUGCAACUCAAUCGACUACGAUCAAGACUCUUCGGAUGGUGAAUUUACCGCGGAAACAAGACAACACAUUUCGCCUCACUUCCUGACCAAAAUCGAAUCAUUCUCCUUGCUUUCCGAGUACGGGAUUGAAAAGUACGAAACAAGAGUAUUCGAAUCCGGAGAUUACAAAUGGAGACUCAUAAUCUAUCCCGAUGGGAACGAGAGCCAAGAUAAAGGCAAUCAUGUUUCCGUAUACCUAGCCAUGGCUGACACUAGCUCAUUACCUGUAGAUUGGGAGAUUGAUGCAAUC
This is a non-coding RNA of Erythranthe guttata (spotted monkey flower), 300 nucleotides long. Lineage: Eukaryota; Viridiplantae; Streptophyta; Magnoliopsida; Lamiales; Phrymaceae. The record is from RefSeq and is a predicted model, not a curated record.